AUCCGUGAUGUGAUUUGGUCGCGAACUGCUGUCGACCGGUCUAGCUUACUAAGUUGAAAACGCUUGUUGAUCACAGAUUUCGACAGAAAUUCAAAGGAUCUGAGAGAAUUGAUGGUGGAUAUGAUGGGUCAAGUUAACGUUAAGAUCUUAGUCGGGUUUUUGGAAAGAAACAACGGUAUGUUCAUCGUUAGGACUCGCGGUAAACGUAGCCAUGCAGGAGACGAUUCAAGACAGUAGGACAGAUUUAGACAAAGUGCAGGAUUUUAAUGAAGACUCGCACCGGUACCCUGACAUGAACAUGAGUCAUAGCCGUGAUGGAAGUUGCCAGGAAACAACAGGUUAACUUAUCAUCAUAAAGUAAAUAGGCUUAUAACUCUGUCUACAUGUCUUCGCUUCCAAUAUCAUAGAACUUUAUAAAAUCGCCAUGCAGAAGUUGAAGACGGUACAGUAUUAUUAAAACUGUAUAAAAUGAAACAACAGAAUGAUAUGUUUAAUGUUUCUCUUUUAUAAAUUGAUGAAAUUCUUGUUUGUUUACAAAAUAAAAUCUGUAGAAAUAUC
Molecule: long non-coding RNA, 558 nt
Organism: Ostrea edulis (European flat oyster)
Lineage: Eukaryota; Metazoa; Mollusca; Bivalvia; Ostreida; Ostreidae
Exons: 2
Source: RefSeq, a predicted model, not a curated record